CGGACCUCAGAUCAGA
Molecule: ribosomal RNA, 16 nt
Filed under: Diplasiolejeunea alata
Lineage: Eukaryota; Viridiplantae; Streptophyta; Jungermanniopsida; Porellales; Lejeuneaceae
Description: partial 26S ribosomal RNA
Source: RNAcentral